GGUCCCGUGGUGCAGCGGCCUAGCAUACUUCCCUGUCAAGGAAGAGAUCGCCGGUUCGAAUCCGGUCGGGACCGCCA
This 77-nucleotide transfer RNA is filed under the name Chloroflexota bacterium. RNAcentral describes it as "tRNA-Asp". It matches the Rfam family "tRNA". From Rfam's summary of the family: Transfer RNA (tRNA) molecules are approximately 80 nucleotides in length. Their secondary structure includes four short double-helical elements and three loops (D, anti-codon, and T loops). Lineage: Bacteria; Bacillati; Chloroflexota. The record is from RNAcentral.